RNAcentral lists this long non-coding RNA (995 nucleotides) under Equus caballus (horse). RNAcentral's name for it is "lncRNA (ENSECAG00000056597.1)". The record is from RNAcentral. Lineage: Eukaryota; Metazoa; Chordata; Mammalia; Perissodactyla; Equidae.
AACUUUUUCUGUUUUCUCUUAAACCAACUAUGAGUUAUAGCAAUUUGUAAGCAAAAUCGAAGCAUUUAUCUUUUUUUCCCUGUCUGAUCCAUCCAGAAUUUAAAAGCUCUUGAUGAACCCUUUCUGUUUCAGAGAUGAUCCAAAAGACCUGAAGGGAACUCAAACUAAGGAACUAGACACUGUCAAUUGUUUCUCUGUACCAUCUUUGUCAUGGAGACCGGGUUGUAUUGAAAUCCUGGUCUUCAUCCAUGCUGGAUGGGACCAUAUGAAAAAUGCCACAAAGAACAAGAACCAUGCCAUAGAAGUACAUCACAACUGGGAUCUCUCAAAUGUUGGCUGGCUUCAUACUCUAGACACUAACUUCUCUGAAUGGUCAAAUGAAGCCAUGACAGAGGACAAGUUGUUGUUCAGAAGACAGUCUCCUAAAGAUAAGUAAUAAAUGACUCCCAGGCUCUUACCUUACUUGUUGGGCUAUUAGACAGCAGGCUACUUGGCUACAUUGUAUUUCACCUGAAGUUCUAGGUAUUAACCUUGACUGGUUUACAGGCAUCCUCUCCUGGAUUCCUCAAGGAUUGAAGUCCAUUAUGGAGAGGAUACUAAAAUUUAGGCUGUCUAUUUUGCUAAUCUGUAUUGUCAUCUAUGUAAUUAUAAAACGUGAACUUAAGUGUUGUUCCAAAGUCAUUGAAUGGAAUACUAAAAUAUUAGUCAUGAAAGCAUAUCUUGCUCUCCACACCUGGUACCCAAAAAUAUUUUAAAAUAAAGGUAAAACAGUUUCAUUCCUCUGAUCCUGAUCUUCACCCUUUCACAGCAGGAAGUAGCUAGAGCAGUCUUCACCCCCCAUUCCCUAAGAUUGAGGAAUGAUCAUAAGAGGUGGGGAUUGAAACUGAGCAUGAAGAAGUUAAAAAAUCUUCCCUAGAGCAAAAAACUUUGAGAUAAGCUUUGCUAACUGCGGCUGUGCAUAUUCAGCAUAAUCAACUGUUGUUUAGAACCAACCA